GUCUAUGGCCAUACCACCCUGAAUGUGCCCAAUCUGGUCUGAUCUCAGAAGCUAACCAAGUUGGGGCCGGGUUAGUACUUGCAUGGGAGAAAUGCCUAUCAGAAUUUGGCAGCUUACC
This 118-nucleotide ribosomal RNA is filed under the name Jaculus jaculus (lesser Egyptian jerboa). Lineage: Eukaryota; Metazoa; Chordata; Mammalia; Rodentia; Dipodidae. The record is from RNAcentral.